GGGGGAUUAGCUCAGUUGGCUAGAGCACCAGCAUGGCAUGUUGGGGGUCAUCGGUUCGAGCCCGAUAUCCUCCA
This 74-nucleotide transfer RNA is filed under the name Sphingobacteriales bacterium 44-15. Its description in RNAcentral is "tRNA-Ala". It matches the Rfam family "tRNA". From Rfam's summary of the family: Transfer RNA (tRNA) molecules are approximately 80 nucleotides in length. Their secondary structure includes four short double-helical elements and three loops (D, anti-codon, and T loops). Lineage: Bacteria; Pseudomonadati; Bacteroidota; Sphingobacteriia; Sphingobacteriales. The record is from RNAcentral. RNAcentral also lists the same sequence under 3 other names.